UGGGGAAUUUUGGGCAAUGGGGGAAACCCUGACCCAGCAACGCCGCGUGAAGGAUGAAGUAUUUCGGUAUGUAAACUUCGAAAGAAUAGGAAGAAUAAAUGACGGUACUAUUUAUAAGGUCCGGCUAACUACGUGCCAGCAGCCGCGGUAAUACGUAGGGACCAAGCGUUGUUCGGAUUUACUGGGCGUAAAGGGCGCGUAGGCGGCAUGACAAGUCACUUGUGAAAUCUCUGGGCUUAACCCAGAACGGCCAAGUGAUACUGUCGCGCUAGAGUGCAGAAGGGGCAAUCGGAAUUCUUGGUGUAGCGGUGAAAUGCGUAGAUAUCAAGAGGAACACCUGAGGUGAAGACGGGUUGCUGGGCUGACACUGACGCUGAGGCGCGAAAGCCAGGGGAGCAAACAGGAUUAGAUACCCAAGUAGUCCCUGAGCGGGCUGGCAAGGCGCAU
Molecule: ribosomal RNA, 447 nt
Filed under: uncultured bacterium
Lineage: Bacteria
Description: bacterial SSU rRNA
Rfam family: Bacterial small subunit ribosomal RNA
Source: RNAcentral